AACUUUACUAGAGGAAAGUACUUGACUAUGUUGAAGUUUCAACUUUGGGCGAGUGUCAAGCUGGAGUAGAUAUAUCAACACGGACGGAGAGUAAGGCUAGCAACGAAUACAAACUCUCUGGAGCUUGUCUUAAGUGCUGUAUUGGAGAUUGAUGCAUUUAGUAAUUGCAUUUUGCAGUCAUCUUUGAAGACCAAAACAAUUCAAUGACUCGCCGUGAUUUUAAUGAAUUAUUUGGUUACGUAGCAUCAAUA
Molecule: long non-coding RNA, 251 nt
Organism: Lycium ferocissimum
Lineage: Eukaryota; Viridiplantae; Streptophyta; Magnoliopsida; Solanales; Solanaceae
Exons: 3
Source: RefSeq, a predicted model, not a curated record